AAGCGUGCGCAGGCGGUUUUGUAAGACUGUCGUGAAAUCCCCGGGCUCAACCUGGGAAUGGCGAUGGUGACUGCAAGGCUAGAGUUUGGCAGAGGGGGGUAGAAUUCCACGUGUAGCAGUGAAAUGCGUAGAUAUGUGGAGGAACACCGAUGGCGAAGGCCAGCCCCCUGGGUCAAAACUGACGCUCAUGCACGAAAGCGUGGGGAGCAAACAGGAUUAGAUACCCUAGU
Molecule: ribosomal RNA, 230 nt
Filed under: uncultured bacterium
Lineage: Bacteria
Description: partial 16S ribosomal RNA
Rfam family: Bacterial small subunit ribosomal RNA
Source: RNAcentral